Molecule: ribosomal RNA, 450 nt
Filed under: uncultured bacterium
Lineage: Bacteria
Description: partial 16S ribosomal RNA
Rfam family: Bacterial small subunit ribosomal RNA
Source: RNAcentral
GUGGGGAAUUUUGGACAAUGGGCGCAAGCCUGAUCCAGCAAUGCCGCGUGCAGGAAGAAGGCCUUCGGGUUGUAAACUGCUUUUGUACGGAACGAAACGGUCCUGGCUAAUAUCCGGGGCUAAUGACGGUACCGUAAGAAUAAGCACCGGCUAACUACGUGCCAGCAGCCGCGGUAAUACGUAGGGUGCGAGCGUUAAUCGGAAUUACUGGGCGUAAAGCGUGCGCAGGCGGUGCUGUAAGACAGGCGUGAAAUCCCCGGGCUCAACCUGGGAAUUGCGCUUGUGACUGCAGUGCUGGAGUGCGACAGAGGGGGAUGGAAUUCCGCGUGUAGCAGUGAAAUGCGUAGAUAUGCGGAGGAACACCGAUGGCGAAGGCAAUCCCCUGGGCCUGCACUGACGCUCAUGCACGAAAGCGUGGGGAGCAAACAGGAUUAGAAACCCUUGUAGUCC